GAGUUUGAUCUUGGCUCAGAUUGAACGCUGGCGGCAUGCCUUACACAUGCAAGUCGAACGGCAGCACGGGAGCUUGCUCCUGGUGGCGAGUGGCGAACGGGUGAGUAAUGCAUCGGAACGUAUCCUGGAUGGGGGAUAACGUAGCGAAAGUUACGCUAAUACCGCAUAUUCUGUGAGCAGGAAAGCGGGGGACCUUCGGGGCCUCGCGCUCUUGGAGCGGCCGAUGUCGGAUUAGCUAGUUGGUGAGGUAAAGGCUCACCAAGGCGACGAUCCGUAGCAGGUCUGAGAGGAUGAUCUGCCACACGUGGAACUGAGACACGGU
RNAcentral lists this ribosomal RNA (322 nucleotides) under bacterium enrichment culture clone ALO1_GLFRUDD03FVAUQ. RNAcentral's name for it is "bacterial SSU rRNA". It matches the Rfam family "Bacterial small subunit ribosomal RNA", at positions 9 to 330 of the family's 1533-position model. The record is from RNAcentral.